Molecule: ribosomal RNA, 229 nt
Filed under: uncultured bacterium
Lineage: Bacteria
Description: partial 16S ribosomal RNA
Rfam family: Bacterial small subunit ribosomal RNA
Source: RNAcentral
GAUCCUGGCUCAGGAUGAACGCUAGCUACAGGCUUAACACAUGCAAGUCGAGGGGCAGCAUUGUCUUAGCUUGCUAAGGCCGAUGGCUACCGGCGCACGGGUGAGUAACACGUAUCCAACCUGCCGUCUACUCUUGGACAGCCUUCUUAAAGGAAGAUUAAUACAAGAUGGCAUCAUGAGUUCGCAUGUUCACAUGAUUAAAGGUAUUCCGGUAGACGAUGGGGAUGCG